CACCGCCCGUCACACCAUGAGAGUCGGAGAUGCCCGAAGCCGGAGCGCUAACCGCAAGGAAGUAUCCGUCGAAGGCAGAGCCGGCGAUUGGGGUG
Molecule: ribosomal RNA, 95 nt
Filed under: uncultured bacterium
Lineage: Bacteria
Description: partial 16S ribosomal RNA
Rfam family: Bacterial small subunit ribosomal RNA
Source: RNAcentral